This 301-nucleotide ribosomal RNA is filed under the name uncultured bacterium. RNAcentral's name for it is "partial 16S ribosomal RNA". It matches the Rfam family "Bacterial small subunit ribosomal RNA", at positions 509 to 809 of the family's 1533-position model. The record is from RNAcentral.
CAGCAGCCGCGGUAAUACGGAGGGGGCUAGCGUUAUUCGGAAUUACUGGGCGUAAGGCGCACGUAGGCGGAUCAGAAAGUCAGAGGUGAAAUCCCAGGGCUCAACCUUGGAACUGCCUUUGAAACUCCUGAUCUUGAGGUCGAGAGAGGUGAGUGGAAUUCCGAGUGUAGAGGUGAAAUUCGUAGAUAUUCGGAGGAACACCAGUGGCGAAGGCGGCUCACUGGCUCGAUACUGACGCUGAGGUGCGAAAGCGUGGGGAGCAAACAGGAUUAGAUACCCCCGUAGUCCCUGUCUCUUAUAU